GAGGGUGUAGCUCAGUGGUAGAGCUCUUGCCUAGCAUGGGUAAGGCCCUGGGGAUCAAUUCCCCACACCCCUC
RNAcentral lists this transfer RNA (73 nucleotides) under Cavia porcellus (domestic guinea pig). It matches the Rfam family "tRNA". Rfam says of the family: Transfer RNA (tRNA) molecules are approximately 80 nucleotides in length. Lineage: Eukaryota; Metazoa; Chordata; Mammalia; Rodentia; Caviidae. The record is from Rfam by way of RNAcentral.